Molecule: long non-coding RNA, 3445 nt
Organism: Alligator mississippiensis (American alligator)
Lineage: Eukaryota; Metazoa; Chordata; Crocodylia; Alligatoridae
Exons: 4
Source: RefSeq, a predicted model, not a curated record
UCCAAGCUGCCAGCAAGUAGUGAGCAAGGGUUUCUUCGUUGGCCAUCCACUGCUCUAAUAGACUCACAGGGAGAAAGGGAGCAAAGCCAAAGUGACUUACCAACAGUUCCCCAGCACGUGAGAAGGGGAACUGGGAACCAAUCCCAGAUCUCACUAGUCCCAGACCAGUGCCCUGCCUGCAGGUCUCAAAGCCUCUCACCUGCAUGGAAGAACUGGAUGAAAAGGUGGCAGAGUCUAGACCUUUGUCUCCAUAACUCAAUGUUCCUAUCUGUAAAGCUGAGCUCAAACCCACUCCCUGCCAGAAGAGGCUGUGAAUAUAAGCUAGAUAAAGUUUGUGCAAUGCUGAAGAAAUAUGAAGUGCUCUAGAAGUGUUGAGUGCAGCUGAUAAAAGGGAGAUACCCACACACAAAGGAAGAAACAACCCUUAGGACAGAAGGAAGCUUUCAGGGCAGAAACAAACAGGAUUAUUAAACACUUUCUCGGCUUCUCCAGCAAUGGCUCCUUUAAGAUACUGGCUAAGCAAGCUAUUCCUUGCAGCUACAGAGCGGUGUACGGAGGCUGCAGUGUGAUGAAGACUCUGCCUGCUCAGACGGAGAACUCGCUUUGGGUCACAAGGGAAACAGUCUAGCCCUCCCAGGCUCGGCCGCUGGAAAUCCCCACCUCAUUGGCAGAGUCCACCGGCACCAGCAUUUCUCUUCAGGAACAUCUCAGGAUUGCAACGGCAAGGUCAAGAUGGAGCUGGCUGGCAAAGCUGGGCUGUAUGGAAACUUAGACAACAUCAGUAAGCCCCACACCUGGCACUAGCUGUUGUUAAAAGCCCCACCAGUUGAUUAUUAGCAGUAAUUGAGUUGGUCUAAUAAAAGAGAUCACAUUUCCCAAAAAACCUUGAUUAGCAUUAAAUGCAUUCACAAGGAAAACUACCAACCACCCCUUCCUAUAGAGCUGUUGACUCUUCUGCUUCCACAUUCCCUUUUCUUUCAGUAAUGAUGUAUUCCCCCAGCAGCUAAAUGCCAUUGCCUCCGGCAAGGGUGUCCCUUUCACAUGAGGGACCGCACUGCUAAAUCGCCCUCAGCUAUAUGGAAACCAGCCUGCUGCUGGGUCUGCCUAGCUUCUUUCAUAUUCAUUCCAUCAUCAUCUUUGAUGUGCGGCUAUGUACUUCUCAAGGACCAGGAAGGACUGAGCCCAGUCUAUGGGAGAAGAGGGACAGUGGUGUUCAGCAGUGGAUGUAGAUAGGUAAUGAUCCUAACUGUGCAAAACCUCAGCAUGCUGAAGCACUCUGUAAGAAAGCUGCUUUGGAUCAGCUGCUGCUGUGAUGUGGGUUCCCAAUGACUGCUAUGACAGGCUAAAUCCAACCCCAUCCCUUACUUCAGCCGGCCACAUACCCCUGGAACAGCACGUUCUGGGCUUGUGCUCUUUCUUGCAGGUAAACUGAGAGAGGGGAUGAAUUCUGCUUGAAAAUUGGAGGAUUGGGACAAAAGAAAUCUCAUGAGGUUCAACAAGGUCUUGCACUUAGGAUGGAAGAAUCCCAUGCAGGCUUGGGACAAACUGGCUAAGCAGCUGCUCUGCAGAAAAAGACCUGGGGGUGACAGGGGACAAGAAGCUGGACAGGAGCCAGCAGUGUGCCCAUGUUGCCAAGAAGGGUAACGGCAUCCUGGGCUGCAUGGGUAGGAGCGCUGCCAGCAGAUGGAGGGCAGUGAUUCUUCCCCUCUGUUCAGCUCUGGGGAGGCCACAUCUGGAGUCCUGUGUCCAGCUGUGUGCCCCCCGCUACAAAAAGGGUGUGGACACAUUGGAGAGAGUCCAGUGGAGGACAACAAAAAUGGUUGGGGCACUGUGAGAUAUGACUUGUGAGGAGAGGCUGAGGGAACUGGGCUGAUUGAGUCUGCAGAAGAGAAGACCGAGGGGGAUUGAAAAGCAGCCUCCACCUCCCUGCAGGGGGGCUGCAAAGAGGAUAAAGCUGGGCUUUCUCAGUGGGGGCAGAUGACAGGACAAGGAGCAAUGGGCUUAAGUGGCAGCAAGGGAAGUUGAGGUUGGAUAUUAGGAAAAACUCUCUCACGGGGAGGGUAGUAAAACACUGAAGCAAGUUACCCAAAGAGGUGGGGGAAGCUCCAUCCUUAAAGGUUUUUAAGACCUGGGCGGACAAAGCCUCGGCUGGGAUGAUGUAGUUGGGGCUGGUCCUGCUUGGAGGAGGGGCCUGAACUAGAUGUGACCUCUUGAGGUCCCUUCAACCCUCAUUUUCUAUGAUUUUAUGAAAAUCUCUGACCUGGUAUUAUAUUUUCAAAUUCAGUAUCAAGCCAGAAUUAACCUUUUCCUGUCUCUGAUCAUUAGUGGAUCAGAGGCUGAAGGCUGGGCUUAACAAAAUAACUAUCCAUGUUUAUUUGCUGCAGAAGCCCAGGGAAGCCCUGAAGAAUCAUUCCUUUUCAUGGCUUAUCAAUGCGUAUAUGGAGACUGACUUAGGGUUAAUUCUUUGAUUCUGAACCCAGCAAGAUACAAGAGGAAGGAAAGGCUGGUGUUCUGCGAAGCUCUCUAAAGCCGGUAUGUGGCCAGGCAGCGUGAACAGGAAAGAAGAACCACACGGCUCUUGUACUGCCCAAAGCUGCCAAAUCUUUCCCAUCUCAGAUGGGACUUGGCUUAGUGCGUGUAGUAGGGAGAGGCUUUCAGUGUUGCUCUGUGAAAGAAAAAUGAAGUCCUUUAAACUGGAUAGUAACAGCCUCAGGGCACUUUUGUUUUCAUUUUCCUUAUUAUUUUGCAGUGCAGGGGGAGCUGGGGGGGCAGAUUUCCCUUUGCUGACUCAUUUGUAUGUUAUAAAAUGUCUUCAAACUGAACCAACCAACAGCCAAGGCCACCACAGACCAGUGUGCCAGACUGUGAGUAAAUAAAAGCACAUAUAAUACUCAUUCUAUGCAUCAGGAUCCAGUUCUGUAACGGUCUUUAGGUACUGAAAGAUGCAGGUAGGAGCCUAAGGAGAUUUAACCUGGCCUAAGCUAGUAGGACAUCUAUUUCUGUUGAACCAUGAGCACUUAAGUGCACUGUGUAAAUCCUCUCUACCUGCAUUUUUCAUACCUAAAUAGCUUAGUAAAACUGGCCCAAGGUCUCCUACUCCUCAGAGUGCUCGUGUUGUUUGAUGUCAGUGUUUUGGUUCAAAGUCCCUUGUAAGAGCCAGAUCCUCGGAGCUCCUCACGGCGUGGGACAGGCAGGGAAGAACAGCUCCGAAAGGCUCAACACUUCUGACCAGUUGAGGAGCGCAGCAGUUUUGUAGGGAAGUGCACGUCAAUUAUAGCAGGUUUCACUCAACCUGGACGAAGACAACAUUCAUGUUGGUUUCACCUUUGAUGCUAAUUUCCUAAUUUCACUCUUUGUCUUUCUUUUUGAACCAUGAAACCCUUUUUUGUUAAUUUUGUUUCAUUUUCCACAUAAGCUUUUUGUAAAGACCCUUCUCUAAAGACAA